AUUGAACGCUGGCGGCAGGCCUAACACAUGCAAGUCGAACGAGUGGCGUACGGGUGAAUAAUGUCUGGGAAACUUCCCGAUGGAGGGGGAUAACUACUGGAACCGGUAGCUAAUACCGCAUACCAUCGGAUGUGCCCAUAUGGGAUUAGCUAGUAGUGGGGGUAACGGCUCACCUAGGCGACGAUCCCUAGCUGGUCUGAGAGGAUGACCAGCCACACUGGAACUUAGACACGGUCCAGAUGCCUACGGGAGGCAGCAGUGGGGAAUAUUGCACAAUGGGCGCAAGCCUGAUAGAGCCAGGCCGCGUGUAUGAAGAAGGCCUUCGGGUUGUAAAGUACUUUCGGCGAGGAGGCGUUACUCGCAGAAGAAGCACCGGCUAACUCCGUGCCAGCAGCCGCGGUAAUAC
RNAcentral lists this ribosomal RNA (406 nucleotides) under uncultured bacterium. RNAcentral's name for it is "partial 16S ribosomal RNA". It matches the Rfam family "Bacterial small subunit ribosomal RNA", at positions 30 to 526 of the family's 1533-position model. The record is from RNAcentral.